UCCAGACUCCUACGGGAGGCAGCAGUGGGGGAUAUUGCACAAUGGGGGGAACCCUGAUGUAGCGACGCCGCGUGAGUGAAGAAGUAUUUCGGUAUGUAAAGCUCUAUCAGCAGGGAAGAAAAUGACGGUACCUGACUAAGAAGCCCCGGCUAACUACGUGCCAGCAGCCGCGGUAAUACGUAGGGGGCAAGCGUUAUCCGGAUUUACUGGGUGUAAAGGGAGCGUAGACGGCAAUGCAAGUCUGGAGUGAAAGCCCAAGGCCCAACCAUGGGACUGCUCUGGAAACUGUGUAGCGUGAGUGCAGGAGGGGUAAGCGGAAUUCCUAGUGUAGCGGUGAAAUGCGUAGAUAUCAGGAGGAACACCGGCGGCGAAGGCGGCCUGCUGGACCGCGACUGACGUUGAGGCUCGAAAGCGUGGGGAGCGAACAGGAUUAGAUACCCGAGUA
This 445-nucleotide ribosomal RNA is filed under the name uncultured bacterium. RNAcentral describes it as "bacterial SSU rRNA". It matches the Rfam family "Bacterial small subunit ribosomal RNA", at positions 330 to 792 of the family's 1533-position model. The record is from RNAcentral.